UACGUAGGGUGCAAGCGUUAAUCGGAAUUACUGGGCGUAAAGCGUGCGCAGGCGGUGAUGUAAGACAGAUGUGAAAUCCCCGGGCUCAACCUGGGAACUGCAUUUGUGACUGCAUCGCUGGAGUGCGGCAGAGGGGGAUGGAAUUCCGCGUGUAGCAGUGAAAUGCGUAGAUAUGCGGAGGAACACCGAUGGCGAAGGCAAUCCCCUGGGCCUGCACUGGACGCUCAUGCACGAAAGCGUGGGGAGCAAACAGG
Molecule: ribosomal RNA, 254 nt
Filed under: uncultured bacterium
Lineage: Bacteria
Description: partial 16S ribosomal RNA
Rfam family: Bacterial small subunit ribosomal RNA
Source: RNAcentral